Jatropha curcas is the source of this 929-nucleotide long non-coding RNA. RefSeq lists it as uncharacterized. The record is from RefSeq and is a predicted model, not a curated record. NCBI's taxonomy places the organism in Eukaryota, Viridiplantae, Streptophyta, Magnoliopsida, Malpighiales, Euphorbiaceae.
UAGCCUCACUGCUAGAUUCUGCAAGCUCUGCGAUUUCGGUCUCAUCAGUAACAUAAUCUUGAGCAAUUUCUGUCUGAUCGACCAUGCUAAAGUCUUUAUCGUGAGAACUCAGGCAGUCUGCUGCAGGAUGAACAAUACCAUACCCAAAGCCUUGCGCAGAGUUGCAGUAAGUCUCCGCUGUGCCAUCUUUCUUCUCUAGGUUUAUGUUACUCAGGACUAUGUUACUACAAGGAACUGUGUCACUACAGGCAAAUUUCAUGGCCUCUGCGCUCUUCGUUGUGCCAGUAACAUUCCGGUUUUUGGAGAAUCACAGUAGAAUUGAUCAAUAAUGAUAGGAUUUGCAACAUCAUCCAUCCUUACAUUUUCAAAACGUAUCCCACGAACAUAGCCAUUGCCUCCCUGCAGCAGAAUAACAAUAUCAAUUAAAUGAAAAUCGAAUGAGGACAGAAAGAGGUCCAAGUACCUGUUCCAAUUUUGCAGUCUUGAAGAACAACAUUAGUUGAGCCAGUAAUAUGAAUUCCAUCAGUGUUAGGACUGUCUUCAGGAGCCGAGACUAAUACUUGGGAUACUCGUACAGAUGCAGACCGGGAAAUCACAAAAUUCAUUUGUUGGCUAUUUUGGAUGGUAAGGCCUCUUACCUUCACAGAUGAGCUUGAAUCAAUAGUUAAUGCCUGCAAAAAUCUCAUCAGUUAAAUCUCAAAUGGUGCACAUUUAGAAGUUUUAGUCCUAGAUGCUUUGCAUGUAUGUUAUCAGAGAAGUGGUCAAAAAAUUCAAAGAAAAAGAUCCUUACUGUUGGUGCUCCUCUGCAAGGCUGUGAAGAAUAAAGAAAGAAAAACAUGAGUUAUUUCUUUUGUUGAUUUGAAGCACUUGAGCACGUAUAAGCAAAAGAGUAAUUUAGAUAAAUUACAUUUGAUUUGUUCUUUUUGCAA